AGUACAUAAGAUCUUAAGGGACCCAGACACCACGUCAGAUUUGUCUUCUUCUGACCACGUGUAGAAACAAACAAAGAACUUCAAGGACAGAGAGAAUGAACGGAUAAUUCCGGCUUCAACAAAGGAAUUUUGAAUGUAUAAUCAACGUCAUUAUCCAUAUAAGACAAAGACCUAAUGUUCUUGAUUUGAAGCUUCUCAACGACUCUUAAUACGAUGACACUCUUCUCCAACAUCUCUCAAAUCCUAACCUAUAUAAGGAAAUAAAGACUUGAAGAACCAUAACAAGACUUUUCUAUUUUAACUAUGCUCUUACUCUGUGAAAUCAAAAAGCGCAUAUAAGUUUUAGAGUUCUUAUCAAAGUUUGUAUC
This 368-nucleotide long non-coding RNA is filed under the name Medicago truncatula (barrel medic). Its description in RNAcentral is "long non-coding RNA (MTRU_LNC008614)". The record is from RNAcentral. Lineage: Eukaryota; Viridiplantae; Streptophyta; Magnoliopsida; Fabales; Fabaceae.